RNAcentral lists this ribosomal RNA (253 nucleotides) under uncultured bacterium. Its description in RNAcentral is "partial 16S ribosomal RNA". It matches the Rfam family "Bacterial small subunit ribosomal RNA", at positions 524 to 776 of the family's 1533-position model. The record is from RNAcentral.
UACGGAGGGAGCUAGCGUUGUUCGGAAUUACUGGGCGUAAAGCGCACGUAGGCGGCUUUGUAAGUUAGAGGUGAAAGCCCGGGGCUCAACCCCGGAAUUGCCUUUAAGACUGCAUCGCUUGAAUCCGGGAGAGGUGAGUGGAAUUCCGAGUGUAGAGGUGAAAUUCGUAGAUAUUCGGAAGAACACCAGUGGCGAAGGCGACUUACUGGACACAUAUUGACGCUGAGGUGCGAAAGCGUGGGGAGCAAACAGG